CGCUCUGACAUUUUCUUCUCUCUCUCCCGGGGGGCUCGCUUUCUCCACACGACUACUACUCUUCGCCAUUUUCCAUGGAAGCAGAGCAGAGCAGGCGGCGAUCCAGUCGCUCCUCCCUUCCGCGUCGGAGGCGGGAGGUGGGUUCCGGCGGCCCGAAGAGAUUGCUGAAGCGGCCCUCUGCUCGCCGGCGGCGAGGAGCCGCAUGGACCUGACCGUCUUGUCUCCGCGCGGUCGCUCGUCGACGGUUGGCUUGGCCCAAGGAUGUGUUCCUGGUCAUCAUCUUCUUUGUUUUCUUUCUUCGUGAAGAUGGGUUACGGAGGAAAUGGGUCGCUGAAGAGCAUGAGAAGAUCGGAGCUUGAUGAGCUGAAUGGAAGGGUCCGAGUUUCGGGUCUGAAAAUGGUGUCCGGUGGGUGGAGCGAAUGGGCAAGUGGGUCUCCCCUGCUCCAAGCCUCCCGAGGUGUCCUCCGAUGCUCACGUCUGCUGUGACGAAUGGGCUCUCCCUCCAUGUUCGUUGACCAACUUGCCAAAUCGAGAAUUCCUGAAAUUGUCUGGAAUGGACAGAAAAAGCUCUGGACUUUCCGUCCUAUGGGCACUGACGUAGCUUCUCCAUUUCGGUCCCUAUCUCUCGUUUUUUUUUUUUUUUUGGGCUCCGCCAUCGGAUCGAGGUCAGUUCUUUGGGACUUUUGCUGGUGAUUCUCAAGUGAGAUGAGUAUGCUGUUCGCAGUUACGGAGCAGUCGAAACGGAGGAGUGAUUCUCAUCUCUUGUUCGUGAUUUCCUUUGGUCUGUCGUUUGAUUCGGCAACGCCCGUGCUAAUUCGAGCGCGUCUAUCUGGUUAUAGAUGGGUUUGAGGCACCAUAUGAGUCGAUGAACUAAGCUCCAGUUCUUAGUCUUUGUUGUAGCUGAACUCGUCUUUUUUUUUUUUCUGUUCGACAUCGUACUUUAUCAGGGUGCUUCUGCUGAUUGCGUCUCUCGUCCCACACUCUUCCUCUGUCUUCUCUUGCUUUGGAUCAGUUUUGAGCUUGCCCGAGAAUUGUUGGCCUUGUUUGAGAGCUUCGAGGACUGUCAAAAAAGAGGCUUGAUUCUGAGUAGCCGUAUCAUGCUCCUUGGUCGAUCUCUGUCCUUAUGCUUCAUGAGGAAGCAAAUGUUGGAACACAGACCGCAAAUUGCAAUUCUCAAGUUGAAAUAUUUAUCCAGGAAUUAUAAUAUCUACUUGUUUCCGUAAUCUAAUCCCGUUUCCAUAUUUUGGGGCCACUUUGCUUAGAUAAUGAAUAACAAUUCUUCUUUUAGCCGUUACUCCAAGUUUGUUCUGCAUUUGCGUCCUCUGUGAUGUUCUUUCCCAUGUUAUGGAGGGGGAGCUAACACGGUGUUUCGGCCACCGCAAUUAGAUCAAAAUCCCAACCUCAUUCAGUAGGAUAAGGCUUGGUCACUAAUGUUGUUAUGGUCAGGUUGAACUGCUGGGAGGCUGUCUUGGUGGAGAUGGGCAAAACUGAUGCAUCCGUGAUAGAGCAGAGCCUUUUGGCCUACUCAAUUGAAAUGUAAGUAUGUAGAUAUGUCAGUUCUUGUCGGACGUAUUGAUAAAAUCACUCCAAGCUGUUUUUCAUUCAUUCAACGAUAGUUACAAUACUAGGCUAAAGUUAGAACAAGACCAGUUCAUCCUUGAAAUUUAGUGAUGGAUGAAAAGAUUACUGUCCUCUUCCAUUCUUGACUGUCAUAUUCAAAUUCUUAAUGUUGCCAACUAGCAGCAUGCCCUUGGGACCUUCAUCACUUCAACAUGAAUUCCAUUCUAGGCUCCCAUCAUUAUCCUAUAUUUUGUCUCUUUGCCAGGUCUGAUAAUAUCUAAAACCAAUGUAUGUGUUUCUCUGUUUGCUGUAGGGUCCAUCUUUUUGUGCACCAUAGGAAGACUCACUAGAAUAGUUCCAGCAAUUUCCAGGCUAGACAUUGCUCCAUGUGACACUUAUUUUGCGGUUGCACAUUGCCAUUAUGUAAUUGUUAUGGGAGCCGUUUUUGCUUUAUUUGCAGUAUUUCGCUAUUGGGUGGGUAAAAUCUCUGGUCGGCCAUACCCUGAAACUUUAGGCCAAUUCCAUUUUUGGAUCAUUUUUUUCAGUGGUGACCAUCCUCUAGAUGUAGCACUUAUGUAUCUCCUCAUUCUUAGUUCUGAAUUGGGGGAUGCAUCAACAUGAGCAAUGACUUAUAAAAUUGUGCUUUAAAUCCCCUAUAUUUGCCUUUUGUGGAUAAACUUGUUUCUUGCAAUUAUUAUUCUCUAAUUGUCUGAUGAUGUGCUGAUGGUUGCCUUAUGCACCCUCACAUGGAGUCUGCUGUUUGUUCCUGGAGACAAGAGGAAGUUUCUUCUCCUUAUUUAAAAAGGGCAGCACAUUGGUGAAGCUCCCACUAUGCACGGUGUCUGGGAAUGGUCAGACCACUUUGGGUCUAACAUGCAUAGCCUUACCUUGCAAUUUUUGCAAGAGGCUGUUUCUGUGACUUGAACCCAUGACCUCCAGUCACACGGUGACAACUUUAUUGUUUGCACCAAGGCUCUGCAUCAUUUCUCAUAAAUCAAUUUUUUCUUCUGUAUUCAAAUGUAUCAAAAAAAUAGGUAGAAUAGCAGCAUAAUCUAUCAGAAACAUCCAUUCAUAGAUCCCGACAAGCUUGAAAUAAGUAGGAAAUCAAUGAAAAAGUUGCUUCCUUUAUUUCGCAAAUAUAAUCAUACAUAGCAGUGAUAUCCAUUCAGAGCAAUCAGAAAUAACGGGACAUCAUAGAAUUACACCAUGCCUCAAGGUACAUCCACUAAUAUCUUUCAGAGUCAAAUACUAUAUCUCACUCACGGAAGCUUGACUGUAGUUUCUGCUCUGCUAACUGAUGGUAAUGAAUGUCUCUCUAGCACCCUUAGCCACAAAAUUGUGCUACUGUAGUUGCGAUCUGAUUUCAAAAGUAAAUAGUAAGAGAUCAUAUUUAUGGAAUGCUGUGACUAUGAAGAUUAAAGUUGCACUUUUGGAAUUCUAGGUUACCCCAAUUUUGUCACUUUUGCUGUAUAUUCAGGCCUCGGUUGGCUUAACUGGAGAUUCAUGGGUGAAUGUGAGCCAUACACAUCACAUGUAUUGUAUGAUAUGGGGCAACUGUUUGCUUUAGUCACAUCACUUGCCCCGUAAACCUGACACCAAAGCAUCAUUUUAUUUAGCCAAAAUAUAGUUUAAAUAAUGCAUAGUCCAACUUAUUUUACACUGACUCCUACUGUGCUUCAACUCAGAGAUUGAGAUAUCCAGACAGAUGGCUUGAUCUGGCUAAGUUGGUUGUGACUCCCAUAGGUUUUAUUUGGCUGUAACUCUCAUAGGGUAUGGAUGAAAUUAGGUGUUCAUAACAAUUUUUUUUUAUGGAAAAGAUUGUAGUGUCUUAUGUUAGAAUUUCCCUUCAUGGAAUUAUUUUAUAAGGUAGAAAAGUUCUUUGCUGUCUAAUUAGUACCUUGUAUUGUAGUUCUGUGUUUUCAUGGCCAGUGAGAUCCACCUUCUUGUACAGCUCUCUAUUUUCCUGAUGCAUGAGAGCUCCCUGAAAUAAAUUGAAUUAGUGCUACUUGAUGUGAAAUCGGUGGAAAAGAGUUUUUGGGUA
Molecule: long non-coding RNA, 3601 nt
Organism: Syzygium oleosum
Lineage: Eukaryota; Viridiplantae; Streptophyta; Magnoliopsida; Myrtales; Myrtaceae
Exons: 2
Source: RefSeq, a predicted model, not a curated record